Molecule: non-coding RNA, 79 nt
Organism: Podarcis lilfordi (Lilford's wall lizard)
Lineage: Eukaryota; Metazoa; Chordata; Lepidosauria; Squamata; Lacertidae
Source: the annotation of a GenBank genome assembly
GAAUAGCUCAGUUGGUUAGAGAGCGGCGCUUCUAACACCAAAGUUGCAGGUUCAAUCCCUGUAUGGGAUGACUGCAAUA